UCGAGCGAAUCGAUGGGAGCUUGCUCCCUGAGAUUAGCGGCGGACGGGUGAGUAACACGUGGGCAACCUGCCUAUAAGACUGGGAUAACUUCGGGAAACCGGAGCUAAUACCGGAUACGUUCUUUUCUCGCAUGAGAGAAGAUGGAAAGACGGUUUACGCUGUCACUUAUAGAUGGGCCCGCGGCGCAUUAGCUAGUUGGUGAGGUAAUGGCUCACCAAGGCGACGAUGCGUAGCCGACCUGAGAGGGUGAUCGGCCACACUGGGACUGAGACACGGCCCAGACUCCUACGGGAGGCAGCAGUAGGGAAUCUUCCGCAAUGGACGAAAGUCUGACGGAGCAACGCCGCGUGAACGAAGAAGGCCUUCGGGUCGUAAAGUUCUGUUGUUAGGGAAGAACAAGUACCAGAGUAACUGCUGGUACCUUGACGGUACCUAACCAGAAAGCCACGGCUAACUACGUGCCAGCAGCCGCGGUAAUACGUAGGUGGCAAGCGUUGUCCGGAAUUAUUGGGCGUAAAGCGCGCGCAGGUGGUUCCUUAAGUCUGAUGUGAAAGCCCACGGCUCAACCGUGGAGGGUCAUUGGAAACUGGGGAACUUGAGUGCAGAAGAGGAAAGUGGAAUUCCAAGUGUAGCGGUGAAAUGCGUAGAG
RNAcentral lists this ribosomal RNA (650 nucleotides) under Bacillus sp. 62(2013). RNAcentral's name for it is "bacterial SSU rRNA". It matches the Rfam family "Bacterial small subunit ribosomal RNA", at positions 62 to 695 of the family's 1533-position model. Lineage: Bacteria; Bacillati; Bacillota; Bacilli; Caryophanales; Bacillaceae. The record is from RNAcentral.